Molecule: RNA transcript, 8693 nt
Organism: Sciurus carolinensis (gray squirrel)
Lineage: Eukaryota; Metazoa; Chordata; Mammalia; Rodentia; Sciuridae
Gene: St8sia3
Gene name: ST8 alpha-N-acetyl-neuraminide alpha-2,8-sialyltransferase 3
Exons: 5
Source: RefSeq, a predicted model, not a curated record
CGCGCCCGCGAGCACACACGCACGCACACACACACACACACAUUCUCACUGACACGCCAGCGAGCUGCUGGCCGCUCAAUGGACCGAUUUCCCCGGUUUCCCUGAUCCCAGCCCAGCACGGGAUGAGAAAUUGCAAAAUGGCCCGGGUCGCCAGUGUGCUGGGGCUGGUCAUGCUCAGCGUCGCCCUGCUGAUUUUAUCGCUCAUCAGCUACGUGUCCCUGAAAAAGGAGAACAUCUUCACCACUCCCAAGUACGCCAGCCCGGGGGCGCCCCGAAUGUACAUGUUCCACGCGGGAUUCCGGUCACAGUUUGCGCUGAAGUUUCUAGACCCGUCCUUUGUGCCCAUUACGAAUUCUCUCACCCAGGAACUCCAAGAGAAACCUUCUAAGUGGACCUUUAAUCGGACAGCGUUUUUACAUCAAAGGCAAGAAAUUCUGCAGCAUGUCGAUGUAAUAAAAAAUUUUUCUUUGACCAAGAAUAGUGUUCGGAUUGGACAACUGAUGCACUAUGAUUAUUCCAGCCAUAAAUAUGUUUUCUCUAUUAGCAAUAACUUCCGAUCACUGCUUCCAGAUGUGUCACCCAUUCUGAAUAAGCAUUAUAAUAUUUGUGCUGUGGUUGGAAAUAGUGGGAUCCUGACAGGGAGCCAGUGUGGACAAGAAAUAGAUAAAUCAGAUUUUGUUUUUCGUUGCAAUUUCGCCCCUACGGAGGCUUUCCAAAGAGAUGUUGGAAGGAAAACCAACCUUACCACCUUCAACCCCAGCAUCCUGGAAAAAUAUUACAACAAUCUUUUGACCAUACAGGACCGUAACAACUUUUUCCUCAGUUUAAAAAAGCUUGACGGGGCCAUUCUUUGGAUCCCUGCAUUUUUCUUCCACACUUCAGCAACUGUUACCAGAACGUUAGUUGACUUUUUUGUUGAACACAGAGGUCAGUUAAAGGUCCAAUUGGCUUGGCCUGGAAAUAUAAUGCAACAUGUCAACAGGUACUGGAAAAACAAACACUUGUCGCCCAAACGACUGAGCACAGGUAUUCUUAUGUACACCCUUGCAUCAGCAAUAUGUGAAGAGAUCCACUUGUAUGGAUUUUGGCCUUUUGGAUUUGACCCCAACACAAGGGAAGAUCUUCCAUACCAUUACUAUGACAAAAAAGGAACCAAAUUUACCACCAAGUGGCAGGAGUCUCACCAGCUGCCUGCCGAGUUUCAGCUGCUGUAUCGAAUGCAUGGGGAAGGGCUCACCAAGCUGACUUUGUCACACUGUGCCUAAGAACUCCGAGUGGAAAGUGCCAAAUGGCUAUUUAAAAAGUGCCCCAAAUCAAAUUGAAUAGUCUUCAGAAUAGAACCCCAGAGACUUAUAAGGCUCGUCUGCCACUUAAAAGGAAAGAUGUCUGCUCCCCCUUUUGCACUGCUCUUGGAAUGGUCUUAGUAGACUUGGCAGGACAGAUGCAUUGAAGCCACAAAAUUGAAACUCAGUUGAUAAAGGGAAUGUUGCAUUUGGAAGUAUGCUGCUAACAGAAUGGUUUGACGUAUUUUCAUGUUUGUAUUUUAAUAAUAAACUGACUCCCAUGUUGAUGAGGAUCAGAGCUAUAGUUUCUGCAACUCUGCUGAGAUUCAGUCCUUGCCAACAGAGGCCUCAGGCCAAUUGGGCAGAAUCUGUUUUGCUGGUGGGAUCGGACUCUUCAAAAUAGAAACAAAAAAUUGGUUUGCAUAUCUCCCUCUCUGGCUCCCCCUCCUCCUCCUCUUCUUCCUUCUUCCCCACUCCUCCUCUGCCUCCCCCAUCAUGUCUGUCCAUCUCCCUGCAACCAUUCCCCUUGCCCCACAGCCAUGGAGUUUAAUAAUUUGCUAGGAAGCCUAUUGAUUUAGCUUUGCUUGUUUGUGUUGCAUCUGUACUUGAUGUGUUCAAGAUUCUGGGUAACUUUGAUAUUUCAUGACAAACCGAGAAAAUCAUGAUGAAUCCCCUCAUGAUUACUUUUAUAAGAAAUGCAUCUUAUGAAGUCCUCACUCAUCCAUAUGGUCAUUCUGUAGCAGGGUGGGCUCUCUAGGGUGAGUGGCAUAGAAUGCCAGGGCAUCUUUCACUAUCACAAAGAAAGCCUAUGGUGUGGUUGGCAUUGCAUCUCUUGGCAUGAGUGUGAUUAUGGCAGAUAAUAACAAUGUUGCCACAUCUGCAAGGGCAUUGGAGCCUAGGCCUGGUGCCUCCCACAGUCCUUGCCCAUCCUCUCAGCAUACAGAGGCAAUGAGUCAACUGAAGAACCUGGGUCACUGAGGGAAAAGGAAGACUGUUUAGAAGUUGCUAUGUUGUCCUGUGUGGUGACCAUGUUGCCCAUUUGGAGCCUUUGAGAACCAGCAGGUUAGAGAGGAAGCCUAGAGGUCAGCCAGGCCACCCCCUGUGGAUAUUGGUAAGGAAUGGCAGGACCUUCCCAUCCCCCACCAUCAUUUCAACUGUAUUUAACAGAAACUCAAAUUAGUGGGGAAAUGGACUUGUCUCCGGAACCAGAAGAACUUAGAGGUCAUCUCUACUUCUAGACAGGAUUUCUCAGAGGUGAUCCCAAAAGACCACCCUCCCGUUUAUUAAAACAAAUCUUCUGAAGAAAAUUCAGAGCCCUCCUGUUUGGUUAACCACAAUACUCGGACUUUAUAAGUUUUUCAUUUAUAGUCCAUAUCCCUCCUAUUAAAAAAAAUAGAUGCAAUAUGUGGGUAAAGCAUUUAUCCCAAUUUUCAGCACAUAGUAAGUGCUCAAUAUAUAGCAACCUUUACUAUAAUUAUAUUAUUGGUUAUGCCCUUGACAUUGAGAAAAGUGGCCUCUAGCAGAUUGUACAAGAUCUAUUUGUUUUUAAAGAUUGUUUCAAAGAUUAAACCUAUAUAGCCACCAUCACAACUAAAAGACAUGGUGGCUCCCAUGUGUUCCGAUUAGAAAGGCAGCUGUCAAUAACCAGAGUCUUCUGGCUCUCCCACAGCUCCCAGGUUUGCAGAGUCAAAUGCACUGAGCUGGGAAAAUUAUACCAAUGGGGCCUCCUGCCUGACUCAGUUAUAGUCCAUACUCUGCUGGCUUUUGCAUUGACCUCAUUUUGUUGGUUCUAAGAUAAGGACAUUCUUUUGUCAGUAACUUUCUCCUUUUUAGAAUACUUCCAACAAAACCCACCUUCAGCUACGAGAAUAAAUCUCACCAUAAGGCUCCCAAUGCCAUCCAUGACAUCAACACAAAUGACCAGUUGCAGAGGAGAAAAGAAAAACAACCAACAUUUGGUAGCUUGCUUGAUGCUAGAUCCCCAGUGUACAGGCAUGUUGAUCCCAGAAGACAGGCUUAAAAGUGAUGUCAAGAAUUCCUCCCACACCCAGAGGUUCUUUCCCAUAUUUGAUGAUUAAAACAUCUGUGGUUCCUCCACUUUUGUGUCCACGUCUUAAGUGUCCUUGAUCAUUGGGAAGGUGCUGUCUGUUUAGUAGUGCAGUGUGCCUAGUAGUGCUUACUGUGACCACUGUGCCAUCCAUCUAACCCUGAUGUCAGACAUCUGACCAUGAAGUUACAGCACGGACAUUCAAAGGACCAGUCUCCUUGUGCACAGGCCACCAAUUAGUCAUGAAUGUGAGUCCCCAGACAAACCUAAUUUGGUGGGGAAGUCAAAGAGUAGAAGAACACUUCUUUAAUUAUAAACAAGACACUAAAUAUUAGAUACUUUCAGAUAGUAGUGCACUGUUGCCCUGAGGUCAGUGGAAGCAGGGACAGUACUAUAGAUUGCUAGGCCACUGGGAAGGUUAGAGCCUGUAAGCUUCUCCAGUCCUAAUUCUCAACUUUACAGAUGAGAAAAUGAAAAUACAGAGAGGCUAAGGGAUGACCCAAGAUUGCAUAAUUUGGAUAAUUAAUCUCAUCUUGGACUUACCAGUAUCAAAUUAAGAUAGACUCAAAGGGAAAAUGAUUUUGAUCUGGAAUCCUCAGGGCACAAAAAGUAAGUUGGAAGGGCUGUAAAGGAAGAAAAAAAGAAAAUUAUUUUUCAAUGCAAAGCAAUAAAGGUCAUGUUUGCGUAGGUUACAUCUGUCCCCUGGAACCACCCACUUUCUCCCCUGAAAUGAAAGAACCUCUUGGUGAUCACUAUUUGAUAAAUCACAGUUCAGUUCUUGAUGGUUCACAGCUGACAACCGAAGUCCUAUCAGUACUCUGUUCAUCUUAAUAAAACCUUGUUUUAGUAACAUGUAUGCAUAAUUUAAAAGCUGACAGCUGAGAAUGGCUGCCCACUUUUCCUUCUGUACACUUUGCAGCAGGGGUCUCUUGAGCUCAGAAAUGCUUUCCUUAUUAUAAGUAAUUUCAACAUCAGACUUUGAAUUAUUAUAUUUAGUUCAAUAUGCUAAGAAGUUGUACAACCAAUAAUAACUUUGGUGGAUCUUCUUCAGAAUGACAGAAUGAACAAUUUUCUGGGUAUUUCUGGAUUCUUAGAUCCUUUUUUCUUGUAAUUGUUUGAAUGUACCAGGUAAAAGUUUCUGUUUAGCUUCUGCUUCUUCCAUAACAUGUACAACUGAGCUUUUGCUUACCAAUAGAAUUGGGGCUGUGUCCAUGUGGCUGAAGAGCCCAGAAGGAACACCAUGGGUGCUAGAGAUUUAGGGCACUUUGGCUGACUGAGUGACCUGUCUAGACUCUGUGGCCCAAUUAAUCAAGGCCACAGAUGAGUUGAUACCAAGGACCAAAUUGACUAUGCCUCUCACUUUCUGACCGCUUUGUCAUGUAGAUGUAACAUUUGAAAUGGGAAACAUUUUAGAAUGUCAUUAAUUGUAUGAUGUCCGUAUUUCUGAAAAUUUAUUUUUACUGUGAUGACUUAUUGAAGAUAUAUGUGUUUGAAUAGACAUUUUUUUUCCUCAACUAAGCCCAUUUUCUUGGUGUUGAUUACAGUGGAAUCACAAAGAUCUGUUGCAGAAUAACUGACUCUAAUUUAAGUUUACAGUAGAGUUCUGGAGUUAGGACCUGGCGUAUACCACUGAUCCAUCAGCAAACAAAGCUGUAUGAAAUAAGGAACUCUUCAAAAUACAACUCUUGCUUCUCAACUCCAAACCUUUGACUCAUGUCUUGAGAUAAGCCCAGCUUACAACAAUUCCAAUGUGGCUGGUAUUUGGAAACCAGUAAUAUAAAGCAUAGUCAAAACUACCAUGCCAACCAGGGUAGCUAAAUCCUCAUCAGUCCUCAUGCAACUAGUAUCAAAUGUUUCUUAGAGUUACUUUGAUACAUGGCCAUGUUGACACCAGUGACUCAACAGUCAACUCUUCCAGCUAAGUUGACCAUUCACUAAUUCACAAGCAAAUGGUAAUUGGUCAUUCUGGACAGAAUGGAUGGAAGCUUGAGGACCAAGUGGGGAGCUUAGCUUUAAUAUACCUUACCCCAAGGCUGGCCUUUUAUAUUCCAUUCUAUAUUUCAAACUAAGAGGCAGAUCUCAAGUCAUUCAUCUUUACAAAUGAACAGAUUGAGAAACAGGGAAUUUAAAUAAUUCAUUCUAAUUCAAUUUGAGAGUCAUUCACAAGACCUAAAAUGUUCCUUGCAGGGUCUGCUUUCUCAAACUCCAAAUACUACCCAAAAUACAAAGGUCUUCCAGCAAUGAAAUCAACCCAAAAAGAAGUUCAAGGAGCUAAAAUUCUAAGAGCAAACCAGUAUAAGAGAAAGGGUCAGUUGUUCUAACUGCCUUGUUCCAGCCUCUGUUGGAGAAGGUGCCAUGGUACUAAAGAAGUUUUUGCCAGUCUUCUUUCUAUCCAUGUGUACAUGUAAAGCCUUUAAUCAUCAGAGGUGCUAAAGGGCUCCUCUGAUUUUCCUUCUGUGUGAUUCAGAAAGUUUUAGCCUUUGAUGUGCUGCCAUAUGUUAAACAACUGACUCUGAAGAACUCUCAUUUACCAAUUUCUGUGGUGUAAAUACUUUCAGCAGAGCCAAUUUUAAGCUACUAACUUAAUGUCAACCAGCUCAAAUUGCAACAACAUUUUCAAGACAGUAAGAGUUGGCUUCAGCAUUACAUGAGCAAGCUCCAGCACAGCACUGCCUGAACAAUUUCUAAGUCUGUGAUGUACCCAACAGAAGAGGUUAGCAGUGGCUUUGGAGGGAUGCUUUUCCACCUAGGCCAGUUUCACUAAUUUUUUGUAAAAGAGCAUGUUGUGUCCUUUAGGCUGAAACUCUAAGGUGUUCAAAACAUUCCCUAGCCACUUGCUCUUAGGAUCCCCUUAACUGAUUCUCAGCACCCUAGAAGAUUAUCAGUCACACUUUUCUUAAUUCAAAGAGUGUCCCUCCAGGUAAACAUUCUGUAAUUUAACUGCCAGUUGAAACCACAUUUGACCAAUCUUCUGUUUGUUUGCUUUUUAACCCUAUAGUCCAUUGCCUAUUUUCCCAGUUCUAUAUUUUUCUUUGUCCACUUGCUCCAUCAUCCUCCUGACACAGCACAAAAUCCACAGGUACCCAAAAAAACAGGGCCUGCAAGGAGUAGGGAAGAACAAGACAUUCAGCUUACCUACCCACACAUACCUACAAAGUCUCUGUAGUUCAAGGUCACCAGGGAACACUCUGCUGAGCACCAUGCCGGAGCUUGCAAAUAGUCACAGUGGGACUCUGUUUAUCCGUCAAACAACCCCUAAGGAUCAAGAAACACCACUGACUUGAACACCUCUGGGCAACUUCACUGGGUGAGUAGGCAAACUUUGUAGAAGAAGGUAUAAGGCUUUGUCGUAGCUAAGCUAGUACAAGCUGGAUUCUGGGGGGAAAAAAAAUCUAACAAACACAUGGUCACAGUAGUCCUCUGGCCCUUGGCAGUACAGAGACUGUCCUUCCUCACCAAUAGUUCUGUAUCCUCCCUACUGAGGAUUUGGAAAUCAAAUACUCUGGUCAUCCACAGAAAAGUUUUACAAAUGGACAGCUUUCCUGGUAGAAGUCAUUCUUAGUUGAACUUAAUUAAACCCUUUGGAAGGCAAUGCUGGGAAAAAAUGUUCUUAAUUUUUCAACACAGGGAGUGGCCACAGGUUUUUAUUCUGCAUGUAGAUCAUGAAGGACAAAAUCUACUUUCCUUGUUGUAGUGAAAUAUCCUAUCCUAUCCUAAGGGAUUUCCAUGCUGCCAAUGUUUGAAACUUAAGUUGGACAUAUUCUAUAUUAUUUUUAAAAGGUCAGGGUAUACCUCUAUUUUCUGUUCUUAUCAAUUAUUGAAAUGAGCUUGUUUCUCUUCACUGAACAACUUAGGUUUUAUUUUAAAUGAGUCAGGUAUAUGUUCGGAUAUUUUUCUAUGUUCUCAACAAAUUGUAUGUAACUAGCCACAAAAUACACCUUCAUCUUCUGGUUCUUUUCCUGACACCAAAGAGAUAAGUCUUCAGCUACAAGCACACAGGACUUGACAGGUAGGCUCCAUUUUAUUAUGAAAAAAUUUACAGAAAAGCCAGUCUUGUGGAACUAGACACUUCUAUGUCAUUUUUAGAUAAGAAGUUGGAAAAGAAAAAUUGGUAGACCAUGGGAGAGAGGUUUGGACACGAUUAUAGAUGGAAUAAAAAUCAUUCACUCACUUGCAAAAAGGAGGGGAGGUUUCCCUUAGGCCAUUUUGCAACUUAGAACAACUGCACUCCAUGCUAGUAAUGCUGUUUAACCACAUUGCAAGAUCCAAAUCUGGACCCAUACCACGCAGAAAAGCAGCCUGACAGCCUAGAGCCCUGGGAGGGGUUUAUGACAGGCUGAGAUGCAGUCAGCAAGCAUCAGCAAUUAACACUGAAAUUCUCCCAGCACACAGGACAAACACUUUCACACAUCACAAUGAAGGAUCAUUAGUUACAUGAGAUAGUCACCUAAGUCCACAGUGGAACCUGACAGUGCUAGAAAUCCUCUCAGGUCUGAAUGACAGAUCUGCAUCCUCCAUGCAGAGAUGAGGUUCUGAAGGUCAGAGUGACUUGUCUGUCCACCUGGACUUCCAGUGUGGGUCUCCCAAUCAGUGGUUCUACACCACACCAUGCUGCUUCUCUUCCUUGGAUGGGAAGCUGACAAUCUAUUGUGGAGCCUAAACCAGAAGUCAAGACAAAAGAAUGUUUGUGAUAUCUUCUCUCACUGAACCUACUUUGGUUUCACCAUUUUACUUCAGUCUCAUCUUAAAAAAAUGUUAUAUCAGUGCAGAAUGACAAGCAAAGUUCUUUACAGAGUAAUGAUGAAACCAAAAGGGGAAAGGCAGGAGAACACCGAAUGUAAAUUAAAGAAUUGAACAAGAAGCAUGUGUCAGGGAAUAUUAAUGCCUCAUAUUGCUAUUACUCUGGCGCCCUGCCCCACACGCUGGAUGCAUUUGUUUUAGAAAAUGCUAUUUUAUGCUGAGAGACUUAGAAGUAAGACUUUGCCCCUUCCCAACUGCAUCAGUUCUCUUGCUAUUUGAAAGAAGCCGUGGCCCCUACGAGUCAGACUCAUCUGUCUUGUGAGAAGCAGCCUCUCCUGCCCUUGGAAAUAAGCCACCAGCUGGUGAGGGCCACAGAGACCUGAAAGAAGCCAGCAUUGCUAGACUGAGGACCAUGUAAAUAUCUUCUGCCUUCCUGGUGAAAACGGACGAUCAUCUUUCAUAGAGGUAAUUGUGUGUAUAUUGUGACUGUAGUUUGUGAAAAAAAUGCAGUGGUUUGCUUCGACAGCUCUCCAAAUGUAUCUAAGUGUGAAUGUGCCUGCCCCAUUGCCUCAUGUGCCAAACACAGUAUUGAAUGCAUUGUUUUUAAAUAAACUUUUACUGUG